UACGUAGGCAGCGAGCGUUGUUCGGAGUUACUGGGCGUAAAGGUUGUGUAGGCGGUCGUUUAAGUUUGGUGUGAAAUCUCCCGGCUCAACUGGGAGGGUGCGCCGAAUACUGAAUGACUAGAGUGUGGGAGAGGUGAGUGGAAUUCCUGGUGUAGCGGUGAAAUGCGUAGAUAUCAGGAGGAACACCGGUGGUGUAGACGGCUCACUGGACCAUAACUGACGCUGGGACACGAAAGCGUGGGUAGCAAACAGG
RNAcentral lists this ribosomal RNA (253 nucleotides) under uncultured bacterium. RNAcentral describes it as "partial 16S ribosomal RNA". It matches the Rfam family "Bacterial small subunit ribosomal RNA", at positions 524 to 776 of the family's 1533-position model. The record is from RNAcentral.